GAUUUCUGGUACGGCGCACUUGGCCCGCUUCGGUUACGAGGUCGAGUGCCGGUGUGCGCCUGCCAUCCUUCUAGAGUACGUCUCUCCCUUCAGUGGGUUGAGCCGGAAUCUAGAUCAUUUACUUUGAAAAAAUUAGAGUGUUUCAAGCAGGCUAUUGCUAUGAAUACAUUAGCAUGGAAUAAUAAUUUAGGACUUCGGUUCUAUUUUGUUGGUUUCUAGGACUGAAGUAAUGAUUGAUAGGGAUAGUUGGGGGUGCUAGUAUUCAGCGGCCAGAGGUGAAAUUCUUGGAUUCGCUGAAGACUAACUUAUGCGAAAGCAUU
This 320-nucleotide ribosomal RNA is filed under the name Cercomonas sp. RNAcentral's name for it is "SSU rRNA". The stretch from base 103 to 320 matches the Rfam family "Eukaryotic small subunit ribosomal RNA", at positions 736 to 955 of the family's 1831-position model. The record is from RNAcentral. Lineage: Eukaryota; Cercozoa; Cercomonadida; Cercomonadidae.